GACUGCGUGGCCUAAUGGAUAAGGCGUCUGACUUCAAAUCAGAAGAUUGAGAGUUCGAGUUCCUUCGUGGUCG
Molecule: non-coding RNA, 73 nt
Organism: Salmo salar (Atlantic salmon)
Lineage: Eukaryota; Metazoa; Chordata; Actinopteri; Salmoniformes; Salmonidae
Source: Rfam